GUCUUGGCCAUGCUACCCUGAACAAGCCCGAUCCCAUCUGAUCUUGGAAGCUAAGCAGGAUCAGGCCUGGUUAAUACUUGGAUGGGAGACCACCUAGGAAGACCAGGUGCUGUAGGCG
RNAcentral lists this ribosomal RNA (118 nucleotides) under Pteropus alecto (black flying fox). The record is from RNAcentral. Lineage: Eukaryota; Metazoa; Chordata; Mammalia; Chiroptera; Pteropodidae.